RNAcentral lists this ribosomal RNA (412 nucleotides) under Prionospio sp. M TMG-2019. RNAcentral's name for it is "partial large subunit ribosomal RNA". It matches the Rfam family "Bacterial large subunit ribosomal RNA", at positions 1968 to 2596 of the family's 2925-position model. Lineage: Eukaryota; Metazoa; Annelida; Polychaeta; Spionida; Spionidae. The record is from RNAcentral.
UUUGCCUUUUAAUUGGAGGCUCGUAUGAAUGGACACACGAGGGCAUAGGUGUCUCUUUUAUGGCCCUAUAAAUUACCCCCCAGGUGAAGAGACCUGGAUAAUAUAAAAAGACGAAAAGACCCUGUGGAGCUUUACUUAACUUGCCCUACUAUUUAAUAGAAGGAAACCUUUUUAGGGUAAAACAGUUUAGUUGGGGCGACUAAGGAGCACAAUAAACCCUCCUAUAUACCCUUCGGCCAUGCGCCCAUAACAGAUCCACAGCCGUGAAUAUAGACCCAGCUACCCCAGGGAUAACAGGCUAAUCUUCCUCGAGAGCCCACAUUGACAGGAAGGAUUGGCACCUCGAUGUUGGCUUAAGGUUCCUCCAAGGUGUAGCAGCUUUGGCAGUAGGUUUGUUCAACCUUUAAAACCU